CGGUUGAUUCUGUAAAGAUUAGUGGCAAACGGGUGAGUAAUACAUAAGUAACCUGCCCUUAAGCUUGGGACAACCUUUCGAAAGGAAGGCUAAUACCGAAUAAUCUUUUUUUUCCGCAUGGUUAAAAAAGCAAAGAUUUAUCGCUUAAGGAGGGGCUUAUGCCUGAUUAGCUUGUUGGUGGGGUAAUGGCCUACCAAGGCAACGAUCAGUAGCUGGUCUGAGAGGACGAUCAGCCACACUGGGACUGAGAUACGGCCCAGACUCC
Molecule: ribosomal RNA, 265 nt
Filed under: uncultured bacterium
Lineage: Bacteria
Description: partial 16S ribosomal RNA
Rfam family: Bacterial small subunit ribosomal RNA
Source: RNAcentral